RNA transcript from Helianthus annuus (common sunflower), 785 nucleotides. RefSeq lists it as uncharacterized. The transcript is spliced from 9 exons. The record is from RefSeq and is a predicted model, not a curated record. Lineage: Eukaryota; Viridiplantae; Streptophyta; Magnoliopsida; Asterales; Asteraceae.
UUGGAAACCCUAGCGCCUCCUUCAUAUUUUCUGCAGAUCGAAGAGUUUCACAGUCACGAAACCCUAGCCCUCAUCAUCUUCCCUAUUUUGAUUUAAAUGAAAACCCUAUAUCGCUCAUCUUCCUCUACUGAUUAUCUCAUACAUCGUCCAUAUACUCUCUAUCCUCUAAAGUUAGAAAGAUCCAGUUUCAAGCUACAAAGCUUUUCAUGAAUAUUCAGUCUCAAAUCUUGAGAUAAUACUUUUUCUUCGUGAUGGAAAGUUGGUAUUUACAUUUGGUCGACGAUUGGUCAGCGGCUACCGAUUGUAGACUGACUCAACCUUCGUGAAACCCAAAAAAAAUUUGUCUCUGGAUUCCAGCUUUCACUAACGCACAUGUACUAUUAAUUUCAGGUUUUCUUUGCGGUUUACUUCCUCCAAUUCAUUCAGGCGUUUUGAGAAUAUGUCCGGUUAUUAUAAUUGAAUCUGAGCUUGCAUUUGCGGACCUGAAUGAUGACAUGGCAUGUGCCACUGCCUAUCUCCAGUAUGUCGUGAAACAUGUUCUUGAAAAUUGCAAGGAAGAUAUGGAUUUCUUCAACAAUUGUAUUGAGAAAGGGAUCAUCGAUCGUUUGAGUGAUGUUGAGAAAAGGUUUGUGCGAAUGAAGUACACAGAUGCAGUUGAACUGCUUCUAUAAUCAAAGAAGAAAUUUGAAUUUCCGGUGAAAUGGGGAUGUGAAUUGCAAAGUGAGCAUGAACAUUAUACAACUGAGGAGGCUUUUAAUGGAUGUCCUGUUAUUAUAACAAACUAC